This 513-nucleotide ribosomal RNA is filed under the name uncultured fungus. Its description in RNAcentral is "eukaryotic LSU rRNA". The stretch from base 161 to 314 matches the Rfam family "5.8S ribosomal RNA". The record is from RNAcentral. Lineage: Eukaryota; Fungi.
GGGNCAUUACCGAGUGAGGGCCUCUGGCCCGACCUCCAACCCCCUGUGAACCGACACUGUUGCCUCGGGGGCGACCCUGCCGUUCGUUCGGCGGCGGCGCCCCCGCAGGCCCCUUCAAACGCCGCUUAUGUUGCGUCGGAGUUUCAAUCAAAUUGAACAAAACUUUCAACAACGGACCUCUUGGUUCUGGCAUCGAUGAAGAACGCAGCGAAAUGCGAUAAGUAAUGUGAAUUGCAGAAUUCAGUGAAUCAUCGAAUCUUUGAACGCACAUUGCGCCCCGUGGUAUUCCGCGGGGCAUGCCUGUUCGAGCGUCAUUUCACCACUCAAGCCUAGCUUGGUAUUGGGCGCCGCGUGUCCUCUGGGCACGCGCGCCUCAAACGUCUCCCGGCCGAGUCGUCCCUCCCCCGGCGUUGUGAUCAACGUUUCGCUGCGGGGCGUGGGCGGCCGCGGCCGUUAAACUUUACACCAGGUUGACCUCGGAUCAGGCAGGGAUACCCGCUGAACUUAAGAUAU